AGGAAUCUGCCUGGUAGUGGGGGACAACGUUUCGAAAGGAACGGUAAUACCGCAUACGUCCUACGGGAGAAAGCAGGGGACCUUCGGGCCUUGCGCUAUCAGAUGAGCCUAGGUCGGAUUAGCUAGUUGGUGAGGUAAUGGCUCACCAAGGCGACGAUCCGUAACUGGUCUGAGAGGAUGAUCAGUCACACUGGAACUGAGACACGGUCCAGACUCCUACGGGAGGCAGCAGUGGGGAAUAUUGGACAAUGGGCGAAAGCCUGAUCCAGCCAUGCCGCGUGUGUGAAGAAGGUCUUCGGAUUGUAAAGCACUUUAAGUUGGGAGGAAGGGCAGUAAGUUAAUACCUUGCUGUUUUGACGUUAUCGUUUUUAAUAAGCACCGGCUAACUCUGUGCCAGCAGCCGCGGUAAUACAGAGGGUGCAAGCGUUAAUCGGAAUUACUGGGCGUAAAGCGCGCGUAGGUGGUUCGUUAAGUUGGAUGUGAAAGCCCCGGGCUCAACCUGGGAACUGCAUCCAAAACUGGCGAGCUAGAGUAUGGUAGA
Molecule: ribosomal RNA, 541 nt
Filed under: Pseudomonas sp.
Lineage: Bacteria; Pseudomonadati; Pseudomonadota; Gammaproteobacteria; Pseudomonadales; Pseudomonadaceae
Description: bacterial SSU rRNA
Rfam family: Bacterial small subunit ribosomal RNA
Source: RNAcentral